RNAcentral lists this ribosomal RNA (27 nucleotides) under Cystobasidium minutum. Its description in RNAcentral is "partial 26S rRNA". The record is from RNAcentral. RNAcentral also lists the same sequence under 1 other name. Lineage: Eukaryota; Fungi; Basidiomycota; Cystobasidiomycetes; Cystobasidiales; Cystobasidiaceae.
UAGACCUCAAAUCAGUCAGGACUACCC